AGUGAACGCUGGCGGUAGGCCUAACACAUGCAAGUCGAACGGCAGCACAGUAAGAGCUUGCUCUUACGGGUGGCGAGUGGCGGACGGGUGAGGAAUACAUCGGCAUCUACUUUUUCGUGGGGGAUAACGUAGGGAAACUUACGCUAAUACCGCAUACGACCUACGGGUGAAAGCAGGGGAUCUUCGGACCUUGCGCGAUUGAAUGAGCCGAUGUCGGAUUAGCUAGUUGGCGGGGUAAAGGCCCACCAAGGCGACGAUCCGUAGCUGGUCUGAGCGGAUGAUCAGCCACACUGGAACUGAGACACGGUCCAGACUCCUACGGGAGGCAGCAGUGGGGAAUAUUGGACAAUGGGCGCAAGCCUGAUCCAGCCAUGCCGCGUGGGUGAAGAAGGCCCUCGGGUUGUAAAGCCCUUUUGUUGGGAAAGAAAAGCAGCAGGUUAAUACCCCGCUGUUCUGACGGUACCCAAAGAAUAAGCACCGGCUAACUUCGUG
This 492-nucleotide ribosomal RNA is filed under the name uncultured bacterium. RNAcentral describes it as "partial 16S ribosomal RNA". It matches the Rfam family "Bacterial small subunit ribosomal RNA", at positions 29 to 507 of the family's 1533-position model. The record is from RNAcentral.